GAUGAACGCUGGCGGCGUGCCUAAUACAUGCAAGUCGAGCGAGUGGCGGACGGGUGAGUAAUGUCUGGGAAACUGCCCGAUGGAGGGGGAUAACUCCUGGAAACGGUAGCUAAUACCGCAUACCAUCGGAUGUGCCCAGAUGGGAUUAGCUAGUAGGUGGGGUAACGGCUCACCUAGGCGACGAUCCCUAGCUGGUCUGAGAGGCUGACCAGCCACACUGUAACUGAGACACGGUCCAGACUCCUACGUGAGGCAGCAGUGGGGAAUAUUGGACAAGGGGCGUAAGCCUGAUGCAGCCAUGCCGCGUGAAUGAAGAAGGCCUUCGGGUUGUAAAGUACUUUCAGCGAGGAGGCGUUACUCGCAGAAGAAGCACCGGCUAACUCCGUGCCAGCAGCCGCGGUAAUUC
RNAcentral lists this ribosomal RNA (406 nucleotides) under uncultured bacterium. Its description in RNAcentral is "partial 16S ribosomal RNA". It matches the Rfam family "Bacterial small subunit ribosomal RNA", at positions 28 to 526 of the family's 1533-position model. The record is from RNAcentral.